GGGGUUGUGGCUCAGUGGUGGAGCACUCACCUGGCAUGUGUGAGGCACUGGAUUCGAUCCACAGCACCA
This 69-nucleotide transfer RNA is filed under the name Ictidomys tridecemlineatus (thirteen-lined ground squirrel). RNAcentral's name for it is "Spermophilus tridecemlineatus (thirteen-lined ground squirrel) tRNA". It matches the Rfam family "tRNA". Rfam says of the family: Transfer RNA (tRNA) molecules are approximately 80 nucleotides in length. Their secondary structure includes four short double-helical elements and three loops (D, anti-codon, and T loops). Lineage: Eukaryota; Metazoa; Chordata; Mammalia; Rodentia; Sciuridae. The record is from Rfam by way of RNAcentral.